Molecule: ribosomal RNA, 301 nt
Filed under: uncultured bacterium
Lineage: Bacteria
Description: partial 16S ribosomal RNA
Rfam family: Bacterial small subunit ribosomal RNA
Source: RNAcentral
CAGUAGCCGCGGGAAAACGAAGGGUGCAAGCGUUACUCGGAAUUACUGGGCGUAAAGCGUGCGUAGGUGGUGGUUUAAGUCCGUUGUGAAAGCCCUGGGCUCAACCUGGGAAUUGCAGUGGAUACUGGGUCACUAGAGUGUGGUAGAGGAUAGUGGAAUUUCCGGUGUAGCAGUGAAAUGCGUAGAGAUCGGAAGGAACAUCUGUGGCGAAGGCGACUAUCUGGGCCAACACUGACACUGAGGCACGAAAGCGUGGGGAGCAAACAGGAUUAGAUACCCCGGUAGUCCCUGUCUCUUAUAA